AGUGAACGCUGGCGGUAGGCCUAACACAUGCAAGUCGAACGGCAGCACAGUAAGAGCUUGCUCUUACGGGUGGCGAGUGGCGGACGGGUGAGGAAUACUUCGGAAUCUACUUUUUCGUGGGGGAUAACGUAGGGAAACUUACGCUAAUACCGCAUACGACCUACGGGUGAAAGCAGGGGAUCUUCGGACCUUGCGCGAUUGAAUGAGCCGAUGUCGGAUUAGCUAGUUGGCGGGGUAAAGGCCCACCAAGGCGACGAUCCGUAGCUGGUCUGAGAGGAUGAUCAGCCACACUGGAACUGAGACACGGUCCAGACUCCUACGGGAGGCAGCAGUGGGGAAUAUUGGACAAUGGGCGCAAGCCUGAUCCAGCCAUACCGCGUGGGUGAAGAAGGCCUUCGGGUUGUAAAGCCCUUUUGUUGGGAAAGAAAAGCAGCAGGUUAAUACCCCGCUGUUCCGACGGUACCCAAAGAAUAAGCACCGGCUAACUUCGUG
This 492-nucleotide ribosomal RNA is filed under the name uncultured bacterium. RNAcentral's name for it is "partial 16S ribosomal RNA". It matches the Rfam family "Bacterial small subunit ribosomal RNA", at positions 29 to 507 of the family's 1533-position model. The record is from RNAcentral.